UGCCAGCAGCCGCGGUAAUACGUAAGCCCCAAGCAUUACCCGGAAUCACUGGGUGUAAAGGGUUCGUAGGUGGAAAAAUAAGUUGGAUAUGAAAGACCGAAGCUCAACUUCGUGUUUGUAUUCAAAACUGUUUUUCUAGAAUCAGGGAGAGGUAAGCGGAAUUCUAAGUGUAGGGGUGCAAUCCGUAGAUACUUAGAAGAACACCAAAAGCGAAGGCAGCUUACUGGAACUGUAUUGACACUGAGGAACGAAAGCGUGGGUAGCGAAAAGGAUUAGAUA
Molecule: ribosomal RNA, 279 nt
Filed under: uncultured bacterium
Lineage: Bacteria
Description: partial 16S ribosomal RNA
Rfam family: Bacterial small subunit ribosomal RNA
Source: RNAcentral